UACGGAGGAUGCAAGCGUUAUCCGGAAUUAUUGGGCGUAAAGCGUCCGCAGGUGGUUAGACAAGUCUGCUGUUAAAGCGUGGAGCUUAACUCCAUAACGGCGGUGGAAACUGUCUGACUAGAGUUCGGUAGGGGUCACGGGAAUUCCCAGUGUAGCGGUGAAAUGCGUAGAUAUUGGGAAGAACACCAGCGGCGAAAGCGCGUGACUGGGCCGAGACUGACACUCAUGGGCGAAAGCGUGGGGAGCAAACAGG
RNAcentral lists this ribosomal RNA (253 nucleotides) under uncultured bacterium. Its description in RNAcentral is "partial 16S ribosomal RNA". It matches the Rfam family "Bacterial small subunit ribosomal RNA", at positions 524 to 776 of the family's 1533-position model. The record is from RNAcentral.